Molecule: non-coding RNA, 90 nt
Organism: Teratosphaeriaceae sp. CCFEE 6253
Lineage: Eukaryota; Fungi; Ascomycota; Dothideomycetes; Mycosphaerellales; Teratosphaeriaceae
Source: the annotation of a GenBank genome assembly
GGUUGGUUAGCUCAGUUGGUUAGAGCGUGGUGCUAAUAGGAUCCCCAUUCUAAUACGCCAAGGUCGCGAGUUCGACCCUCGUACUGACCA